AUGGCGAGGAGUUCCAUGGCCGCGGUGCUCGCCGUCCUGGCCGUGGCGGCGCUCCGGUGCGCGCCGGCCGCCGCGGAGCUCCCGCUGGUGGAGCACCCGGCCAAGAACGACGGGUCGCUCAGCCUGCUCGUCAUCGGGGACUGGGGCCGCAACGGCACCUACAACCAAUCCAGGGUCGCGGACCAGAUGGGGAAGGUCGGGGAGAGGCUGGACAUCGACUUCGUGGUCUCCACCGGCGACAACUUCUACGAGGACGGCCUCACGGGCGUUCAUGACCAGCAGUUCGAGGAAUCCUUCACCAAUAUCUACACCGCCCAGAGCUUGCAGAAGCCGUGGUAUCUCGUUCUUGGAAACCAUGACUACCGGGGCAAUGCGCUUGCACAGCUUGACCCAGUCAUGCGCAAGCUCGAUGAGCGAUUCGUUUGCAUGAGAUCAUUCAUUGUCAAUGCAGAGAUCGUGGAGUUCUUCUUCAUCGACACUACUCCAUUCCAGCUCAAGUACUGGACUCACCCUAAAGACAGUCACUAUGACUGGAGAGGAGUGGCGCCUCGAGAAAACUACAUAGCUAAUCUGCUGAAGGAUUUGGAUGAGGCAAUGAAGAAAUCAACUGCAAAGUGGAAGAUCGCUAUUGGGCAUCAUACCAUCAGGAGCGUCAGUGAUCAUGGGGACACCAAGGAGCUCCUGCAAUUGCUUCUUCCAGUCCUCAAGGUUAACGGCAUCGACUUCUACAUCAAUGGGCACGACCACUGCCUGGAACACAUUAGCAGCAGAGACAGUCCGAUCCAAUACUUCACUAGCGGAGGCGGUUCAAAAGCAUGGAGGGGAGUCUACCAGCCAAAUGAUGAUAAGCUCCAGUUCUUUUAUGAUGGGCAAGGGUUCAUGUCCCUCCAGCUAAACCAGGACCAAGCUGACUUCAUCUUUUAUGAUGUUUCUGGGAAAGUCUUGUACAAGUGGAGCUCGCGCAAAACAAACUACUUCCAGCCCUCCAUCUAUGUCACUGCAGAAUGA
This 1008-nucleotide ribosomal RNA is filed under the name Triticum aestivum (bread wheat). RNAcentral's name for it is "partial small subunit ribosomal RNA". Lineage: Eukaryota; Viridiplantae; Streptophyta; Magnoliopsida; Poales; Poaceae. The record is from RNAcentral.